CCUACGGGAGGCAGCAGUGGGGAAUAUUGGGCAAUGGGCGAAAGCCUGACCCAGCAACGCCGCGUGAGUGAAGCAGGCCCUCGGGUUGUAAACUUCUUUUGUCAGUGACGAAACAAAUCACGGUACCUGACGAAUACGCCACGGCUAACUACGUGCCAGCCGCCGCGGUAAUACGUAGGUGGCAAGAGUUAUCCGGAUUUACUGGGUGUAAAGGGCGUGUAGGCGGGUGAGCCAGUCAGAGGUGAAAUUCCAGGGCCAAACCUUGGACCUGCAUUUGAAACUGUGUUUCUUGAGUGAUGGAGAGGCAGGCGGAAUUCCGUGUGUAGCGGUGAAAUGCGUAGAUAUAAGGAGGAACACCAGUGGCGAAGGCGGCCUGCUGGACAGUAACUGACGUUGAGGCGCGAAAGCGUGGGGAGCAAACAGGAUUAGAUACCCCAGUAGUC
RNAcentral lists this ribosomal RNA (443 nucleotides) under uncultured bacterium. RNAcentral's name for it is "partial 16S ribosomal RNA". It matches the Rfam family "Bacterial small subunit ribosomal RNA", at positions 338 to 795 of the family's 1533-position model. The record is from RNAcentral.